UGGGUUUACUGGACAUGCCUCAGAGA
RNAcentral lists this non-coding RNA (26 nucleotides) under Macaca fascicularis (crab-eating macaque). RNAcentral also lists the same sequence under 1 other name. The record is from RNAcentral. Lineage: Eukaryota; Metazoa; Chordata; Mammalia; Primates; Cercopithecidae.